UGGCUAUAGCUAAAUAAAUCGAUCGAUCGAUAGAUCUCAGAAGUUUACUGGUCAAUUGUUGUAAGAUUUUCAUCUCUGUCGAUAGAUCUGCUUACCGAAUUUUUUUAAUUC
Small nucleolar RNA from Macadamia integrifolia, 111 nucleotides. RefSeq annotates it as small nucleolar RNA snoR109. The transcript has a single exon. The record is from RefSeq and is a predicted model, not a curated record. Lineage: Eukaryota; Viridiplantae; Streptophyta; Magnoliopsida; Proteales; Proteaceae.